AUGGACCAUGUAUUGCACAACAAGUGUAAAGUAUUCUUUAUCGAUGGUCUAGGAGGUAGAGGAAAGACAUAUUUAUAUAAAGCUUUAUUGGCUAAAGUGCGCUCUAUGGGACUAAUAGCCAUCGCAACAGCAACGUCUGGUAUUGCAGCUUCUAUUUUGCCCGGUGGUAGAACUGCCCAUUCCAGAUUUAAAGUACCAAUAAAUAUUCAAGAAGAUACUGUUUGCAACUUUAGUAAGCAAAGUGGGACUGCAGAAUUACUUCGAAGAGCAUCUCUAAUAGUUUGGGAUGAAGUUGUUAUGACAAAACGACAAGCUGUCGAGGCACUUGAUAGAUCCCUCCAGGAUAUUACAGGUUGUACAUCACCAUUUGGAGGAAAAGCAGUAGUGUUUGGAGGAGAUUUCAGACAAGUCCUUCCUGUUGUUAGGCAUGGCACUAAAGCGCAGAUUAUAAAUGCUACACUCCAAAAGUCUUAUCUCUGGAAGGAUAUAAAAUAA
Molecule: ribosomal RNA, 495 nt
Filed under: Triticum aestivum (bread wheat)
Lineage: Eukaryota; Viridiplantae; Streptophyta; Magnoliopsida; Poales; Poaceae
Description: partial small subunit ribosomal RNA
Source: RNAcentral